This is a long non-coding RNA of Lynx canadensis (Canada lynx), 2340 nucleotides long. RefSeq lists it as uncharacterized. The transcript has 2 exons. Lineage: Eukaryota; Metazoa; Chordata; Mammalia; Carnivora; Felidae. The record is from RefSeq and is a predicted model, not a curated record.
CCUGAGCUGAAGUCAGACGCUCAACCAACUGAGCCACCCAGGCGCCCCAGAGACACCUUUAUGUAGAGUGAUCCAGGCAGGUUUUCUGAAGAGAUGGCUUUUGAAGUGAGACCUGAAUGACAGGAAGAAGCCAGCCAGGCAGAGCCCAUGGAUGGUGGACAUUCCAUGCUGAAGGAGCAUCAAGAACAAAGGCCCUGAGGCCAGGACAGAAGUUUGAUUUGUUGGAAGGAUGGCCGCCCUGCCUGGAACGGUGAACAAAGGACAGAGUAGGUGGCAGUGACAUCAGAGGGGUGAGUGAAGAUGAGCAGGUGGGGCCUUGUGGUCCAUGGGAAGGGGUGUCAUUGCUGAUGAGACUGAAGCAUCAGAGGGAAACCACCCCACCCUGUGCAAUGUAAGAGAUGCUUACUCUCAGCCAGCUUCCUGCCUUACAGACAAUGCAACUGAGGCCCGAGGUUUGGCCAUGUCGGGUCUGGAUUCCACCCCAGACUUCUUGACCCCGCUAUUCAUUCUGAGACCCCAACUGUGGCUUCAAGUACAAGAAUGCGUCUGGUUUGUGAUCUCUACACAUGCACACUACUUCCCUUCCCAGCAGCCUCUGCUCAAAGUUGCUCUACCAUUCCCAAAGAAAACCAGAGCGCUGCUGGAUUUACGUUUCCUUCAUAUGUGUUUUUUAUUUUCUUCCUAACAUUUAUUGUGCCAGGCGUUUUCACAUAGGUUACCUCACUUGAACUUGACAUCAACACUCUGAGGUGUCGGGGUCAUUAUAUCAAGACAAGUGAAGGAACAGGCUGAGAGAGGCAAGAAACACAACCAAGAUCACACAGCUUGCUGGUAGCAGAGAUUCAAGUACAAGUCCAUCUGGCCUCAGGGCCCAUGUUCUUUCCUCCUCACCAUGUGGUAUCACUCGUGUUCUCCCAUCCUAUUCAAGUAAUUCCAGUAACUCCCUAAGACUGAAGCCAACACAGGAAUGCAGAGCUAGGACAGCAGCAGGGGAGGAGACCUGAUGACCUCUGUGGAACCUCUGGAUCCACCUGAACUUACGCCAUGGUGUUGGAUUUCUGUCAUUUGUAACUGAACGCUUCCUUACCCAUGCAAGAAGACAGGAAAAGGUGGAGCAGGGAGGGCUUGGCAUACCAGCCUGACAGAGGUUGGAGGUCGACCUUGAGACAUGCUUCUUGGAGAUCAAAGAUCUGGUCCAGGGUCAUGUACCUGGUAAGUGGCAGGGCCAAUGUCAGAACCCAGGUCUGACUCUGGGAGCAAGGUGUGUGCAGUUCCUCCCCUUCAGCUCAUGAAUUUCCUGAAGGUUCUGAACCCACUCCGUUUGAACAGGUUAAUCACCAGUCUACAUAUGAGCUUGUCUUCUUUUCUAGCAGACAAGAUUCUGAAAGACACUGUCCCUUUCAUCUCAAAAGCUCCUGCCUUAUGAGGGCUGUUGUGAGAAGUAGCAGAUAAGGGACAUGAAAUCAUGCUGUAAACUGUAGAGUGCCACAGGUAAGUGAUGAGUGGUUAUUUUUAUUAGUUGACAGGUCACCUUCACUCUUGGGAGCCUCAAGAAGUACCUUAGGAGGCAACUAGAUUCCCUUCCAUCCCCUUCCUCCAAUAGGAACACUCCUCUUGGCCUUAUUUAAGCCAAAAAUCUCUUCUCCUCACAGAGAGACUCAGGUAUGACCUUGGACCUCCCUGGGUCUCUGUUUUUUGAUCUAUAACGUGGGGCUGGGGAGGGGGAAGAUCUUAAAUUGGAUCCUCCUUGAGGAACAUUGUGUCUCACUAACCAGGGAAGUCUGCACCCCCAGGUCAUUGGAAACAGGGAGAAACUACCACAGACAUCACAUCCCAGAGCCCCAAAUGACCCGAGCUUUCCCAUGUACCCUCCAGGCCUAGUGCCCCAGUUACUCCUGAGCAUCUCUGGACAUCAUCUCUCCAUUUUACAGAACAUGAAACUAAGGCCCAAGAGGGCAAGACUGUAAGGGGGAUAACUGUGGGAUCUGUCCUUUUAGAAACUGCUCGACUCCCACGCCAGCCAGGGGUUCACAUGGUGGCUGCUGUGUUCUCAUAGACCCAACCCUUUGCCACAGUGGAGUGACCCAGCAACCUCAUCCAGAACUGGGCCAGUCAUCUCUGACACAGUUUUCAACCUAGAACUGGGAAAGAGUUCUCUGGUGGAGGCGCCACGAGAUGUGGAACUGAGAGAGAUAUUGGUGACCCUGUUGUCUGCCGUGUCGUACAGAUUCAAUGUCUGUCUUUCUCUCUUAUUCCUGGUUUCUGCUGUUGCUGAAGCCAAGCCACCUAUCUACCAUUCCCAUCGGUGGUAUUAUAAUAAAUAUUUGUUCGUUUUGCCCA